RNAcentral lists this ribosomal RNA (974 nucleotides) under uncultured Stenotrophomonas sp. RNAcentral describes it as "bacterial SSU rRNA". It matches the Rfam family "Bacterial small subunit ribosomal RNA", at positions 53 to 1017 of the family's 1533-position model. The record is from RNAcentral. Lineage: Bacteria; Pseudomonadati; Pseudomonadota; Gammaproteobacteria; Lysobacterales; Lysobacteraceae.
ACCAUGCAGUCGACGGCAGCACAGAGGAGCUUGCUCCUUGGGUGGCGAGUGGCGGACGGGUGAGGAAUACAUCGGAAUCUACUUUUUCGUGGGGGAUAACGUAGGGAAACUUACGCUAAUACCGCAUACGACCUACAGGUGAAAGCAGGGGACCUUCGGGCCUUGCGCGAUUGAAUGAGCCGAUGUCGGAUUAUCUAGUUGGCGGGGUAAAGGCCCACCAAGGCGACGAUCCGUAGCUGGUCUGAGAGGAUGAUCACCCACACUGGAACUGAGACACGGUCCAGACUCCUACGGGAGGCAGCAGUGGGGAAUAUUGGACAAUGGGCGCAAGCCUGAUCCACCCAUACCGCGUGGGUGAAGAAGGCCUUCGGGUUGUAAAGCCCUUUUGUUGGGAAAGAAAUCCAGCUGGCUAAUACCCGGUUGGGAUGACGGUACCCAAAGAAUAAGCACCGGCUAACUUCGUGCCAGCAGCCGCGGUAAUACAAAGGGUGCAAGCGUUACUCGGAAUUACUGGGCGUAAAGCGUGCGUAGGUGGUCGUUUAAGUCCGUUGUGAAAGCCCUGGGCUCAACCUGGGAACUGCAGUGGAUACUGGGCGACUAGAGUGUGGUAGAGGGUAGCGGAAUUCCUGGUGUAGCAGUGAAAUGCGUAGAGAUCAGAGGAACAUCCAUGGCGAAGCAGCUACCUGGACCAACACUGACACUGAGGCACGAAAGCGUGGAGGAGCAAACAGAUUAGAUACCCUGGUAGUCCACGCCCUAAACGAUGCGAACUGGAUGUUGGGUGCAAUUUGGCACGCACUAUCGAAGCUAACGCGUUAAGUUCGCCGCCCGGGGGAGUACGGUCGCAAGACUGAAACUCAAAUGAAUUGACGGGGGCCCGCACAAGCGGUGGAGUAUGUGGUUUUAAUUCGAUGCAACGCGAAGAACCUUACCUGGCCCUUGACAUGUCGAGAACUUUAGAGAUGGAUUGCUGC